Molecule: ribosomal RNA, 855 nt
Filed under: Seimatosporium physocarpi
Lineage: Eukaryota; Fungi; Ascomycota; Sordariomycetes; Amphisphaeriales; Sporocadaceae
Description: partial 28S large subunit ribosomal RNA
Rfam family: Eukaryotic large subunit ribosomal RNA
Source: RNAcentral
GAAACCAACAGGGAUUGCCCUAGUAACGGCGAGUGAAGCGGCAACAGCUCAAAUUUGAAAUCUGGCCCUUGGGUCCGAAUUGUAAUUUGUAGAGGAUGUUUUUGGUGCGGUAUCUUCCGAGUUCCUUGGAACAGGACGCCUUAGAGGGUGAGAGCCCCGUACGGUUGAAUGCCUAGCCUUUGUAAAACUCCUUCGACGAGUCGAGUAGUUUGGGAAUGCUGCUCUAAAUGGGAGGUAAAUUUCUUCUAAAGCUAAAUACCGGCCAGAGACCGAUAGCGCACAAGUAGAGUGAUCGAAAGAUGAAAAGCACUUUGAAAAGAGGGUUAAAUAGCACGUGAAAUUGUUGAAAGGGAAGGAUUUAUGACCAGACUUUUUCUAGGCGAAUCAUCCGGUGUUCUCACCGGUGCACUUCGUUUAGUUUAGGCCAGCAUCGAUUUUCGAGGCGGGAUAAAAGCUUCAGGAAUGUGGCUCCCUCGGGAGUGUUAUAGCCUGUUGUAUAAUACCGCCUUGGGGAUCGAGGUACGCGCUUCUGCAAGGAUGCUGGCGUAAUGGUUAUCAAUCACCCGUCUUGAAACACGGACCAAGGAGUCGAACAUUUGUGCGAGUGUUUGGGUGUUAAACCCUCACGCGUAAUGAAAGUGAACGGAGGUGAGAGCCCUUUACGGGGUGCAUCAUCGACCGAUCCUGAUGUCUUCGGAUGGAUUUGAGUAAGAGCAUAAAUGUUCGGACCCGAAAGAUGGUGAACUAUGCGUGGAUAGGGUGAAGCCAGAGGAAACUCUGGUGGAGGCUCGCAGCGGUUCUGACGUGCAAAUCGAUCGUCAAAUCUGCGCAUGGGGGCGAAAGACUAAUCGAACC